UACGUAGGGUGCAAGCGUUGUCCGGAAUUAUUGGGCGUAAAGAGCUCGUAGGCGGUCUGUCGCGUCGAAUGUGAAAACCCGGGGCUCAACUCCGGGCUUGCAUUCGAUACGGGCAGGCUAGAGUUCGGUAGGGGAGUCUGGAAUUCCUGGUGUAGCGGUGAAAUGCGCAGAUAUCAGGAGGAACACCGGUGGCGAAGGCGGGACUCGUGG
Molecule: ribosomal RNA, 210 nt
Filed under: uncultured bacterium
Lineage: Bacteria
Description: partial 16S ribosomal RNA
Rfam family: Bacterial small subunit ribosomal RNA
Source: RNAcentral